UUUAGAACUCGAGAUAUGGGCUGAACACUGAACAAUAUUUGGGCUACAAGACAGAUUCUGACAUCUCUAUUGUUGCUAUAAUUUGAGCUUGAAAACAACCAUUUUCAAUCUUGGACUCCUCAUGAAAAUUUUAGGACUAUGUCUUAGCUUUCUAUC
Molecule: non-coding RNA, 156 nt
Organism: Populus trichocarpa (black cottonwood)
Lineage: Eukaryota; Viridiplantae; Streptophyta; Magnoliopsida; Malpighiales; Salicaceae
Source: Rfam